RNAcentral lists this ribosomal RNA (497 nucleotides) under uncultured bacterium. Its description in RNAcentral is "partial 16S ribosomal RNA". It matches the Rfam family "Bacterial small subunit ribosomal RNA", at positions 28 to 507 of the family's 1533-position model. The record is from RNAcentral.
GAUGAACGCUGGCGGCGUGCCUAAUACAUGCAAGUCGAGCGAACAGACGAGGAGCUUGCUCCUCUGACGUUAGCGGCGGACGGGUGAGUAACACGUGGAUAACCUACCUAUAAGACUGGGAUAACUUCGGGAAACCGGAGCUAAUACCGGAUAACAUGUUGAACCGCAUGGUUCAACAGUGAAAGACGGUCUUGCUGUCACUUAUAGAUGGAUCCGCGCCGCAUUAGCUAGUUGGUAAGGUAACGGCUUACCAAGGCAACGAUGCGUAGCCGACCUGAGGGGGUGAUCGGCCACACUGGAACUGAGACACGGUCCAGACUCCUACGGGAGGCAGCAGUAGGGAAUCUUCCGCAAUGGGCGAAAUCCUGACGGAGCAACGCCGCGUGAGUGAAGAAGGUCUUCGGAUCGUAAAACUCUGUUAUUAGGGAAGAACAAAUGUGUAAGUAACUAUGCACGUCUUGACGGUACCUAAUCAGAAAGCCACGGCUAACUACGUG